Long non-coding RNA from Arachis stenosperma, 546 nucleotides. RefSeq lists it as uncharacterized. The record is from RefSeq and is a predicted model, not a curated record. NCBI's taxonomy places the organism in Eukaryota, Viridiplantae, Streptophyta, Magnoliopsida, Fabales, Fabaceae. The transcript has 2 exons.
GGGUGAGUAUCCUAGCUAGCCUUCAAAUACACUGACAAAUAAUCUAACAAGGAUUUCACAUCUAUUCUCAAAACAAAAUGAAGCCCUUCUUUGCUUUCUUCAUAGUCUUCUCUCUUCUCUUGGGUGCUAACCUGAGCUAUGGAAGGAAAGAGUUGGUGAGAGAAUAUUGGAAGAAGAUGAUAAAAGGGCAAAGCAUGCCUGAAGCAAUCAAAGAGAUUCUUGUUGUUGAGGAUCCACAAAUAUCAUCAUCAGAUUCAUCAAGAACCAAGAAUAAUUUCAUUAGGGACUUUGAUAUAAAGCCUAAUGUCAUAUUAUAUCACUCCCACAAGCAGAAGCAAAAGCAUAAGCACAAAAACCCUUUUCUCAACAACAACUUGGAGGAGCCAGAGUUUCAAGAAACAGAAAAUAAAUGAAUAAAAAUCAUUAUUAUUAUUAUUAUUAUUAGAGGGGUAAUAUAUAUAUCUCUAGAGAUUAUCAUAUUAUUGUUGUAUUGGGAAAGUAAUCAAUUAAUCAGUUUAAUUAUAUGGUAUAUUAUUAUUAUUAUUA